GACGAACGCUGGCGGCGUGCUUAACACAUGCAAGUCGAACGGAAAGGCCCUGCUUUUGUGGGGUGCUCGAGUGGCGAACGGGUGAGUAACACGUGAGUAACCUGCCCUUGACUUUGGGAUAACUUCAGGAAACUGGGGCUAAUACCGGAUAGGAGCUCCUGCUGCAUGGUGGGGGUUGGAAAGUUUCGGCGGUUGGGGAUGGACUCGCGGCUUAUCAGCUUGUUGGUGGGGUAGUGGCUUACCAAGGCUUUGACGGGUAGCCGGCCUGAGAGGGUGAACGGCCACAUUGGGACUGAGAUACGGCCCAGACUCCUACGGGAGGCAGCAGUGGGGAAUAUUGCACAAUGGGCGGGAGCCUGAUGCAGCAACGCCGCGUGCGGGAUGACGGCCUUCGGGUUGUAAACCGCUUUCGCCUGUGACGAAGCGUGAGUGACGGUAAUGGGUAAAGAAGCACCGGCUAACUACGUG
Molecule: ribosomal RNA, 468 nt
Filed under: uncultured bacterium
Lineage: Bacteria
Description: partial 16S ribosomal RNA
Rfam family: Bacterial small subunit ribosomal RNA
Source: RNAcentral